Molecule: ribosomal RNA, 319 nt
Filed under: uncultured bacterium
Lineage: Bacteria
Description: bacterial SSU rRNA
Rfam family: Bacterial small subunit ribosomal RNA
Source: RNAcentral
ACUCCUACGGGAGGCAGCAGUGGGGAAUAUUGCACAAUGGGCGCAAGCCUGAUGCAGCCAUGCCGUCGUGUGUGAAGAAGGCCUUCGGUUGGUAAAAUGCACUUUCAGUCGUGAGGAAGGUAGUGUAGUUAAUAGCUGCAUUAUUUGACGUUAGCGAUNAGAAGAAGCCGCUUAACCCCGUUGCCAGCAGCCGCGGUAAUACGGAGGGUGCGAGCGUUAAUCGGAAUUACUGGGCGUAAAGCGCAUGCAGGUGGUUUGUUAAGUCAGAUGUGAAAGCCCGGGGCUCAACCUCGGAAUUGCAUUUGAAACUGGCAGACUA